GCUCUUCCUCCUCUCCUCCAUCUGGUUCCUCUUCAUCAUCUUCUGGUUGGAGACCAUCAGCGUGUGGCUCUUCCUGUGCAACUUCUACCAGGACCGAGCCUUUUACCACUGGGGCGAGCGGGUGCUCCUCACUGACCCCGGACACGUGCUCUAUGUCUUCGUGAGCUGAGCCAUUGCUCCCCAGCGAAGCGAUGCCCUGCAGGACCGAGGACGAAUGUCUGCGACACACGGGCAGCUGAAGGCGGCGAGGCCCCAAGGGGUCCCAGGGCCACCUGCAAGCCCAUGGUGCUGGGAAGGGGGUAGCUGCUGCCCCCAGUGCAGCCCAGGAUGAGCAGGGCAGGCUUUGUCCCCCCCAAGCCCAGCGCAAGGACACCUAUGGAAGCUUGGAUACCCAAGUGUUGGGACUAAGGGCCUAAUCCAGGCAGCAGGAGAGCAGAGGAGCAAAUAAAGAGCUUGACUUGCACAUGCUGGUGCCCCUCAGCCCCCUGGGGCUGGGACCAAGGCUCACA
This is a non-coding RNA of Struthio camelus australis, 509 nucleotides long. NCBI's taxonomy places the organism in Eukaryota, Metazoa, Chordata, Aves, Struthioniformes, Struthionidae. The record is from RefSeq and is a predicted model, not a curated record.